AAACUAACAAGGAUUCCCCUAGUAACGGCGAGUGAAGCGGGAUGAGCUCAAAUUUGAAAUCUCGCGGGGAUCCCCCGUGCGAAUUGUAGUUUAGAGAAGCGUUUUCGCUGACAGGCGUGGGGUAUAAGUUCUGUGGAAUAGGACAUCAUAGAGGGUGAGAAUCCCGUCCAUGGCCCUGCGUCUGCUGGUGUGUGAUACGUCUUCCAAGAGUCAGGUAGUUUGGGAUUGCUGCCUAAAACGGGUGGUAAAUACCAUCUAAAGCUAAAUAUAGGCGAGAGACCGAUAGCGAACAAGUACCGUGAGGGAAAGAUGAAAAGAACUUUGAAAAGAGAGUUAAACAGUAAGUGAAAUUGCCAAAAGGGAAACGCUUGGCACCAGUAUUGCGUUCCGGCAGGGUAGUCGGGUUGGCCUGUCAAAGGGACCCCCUGAUGCUCCCUGCCGGGUUUGCAAGUCAACAUCAGUUUGGAUCCGGGAAGAAAGCCACGGGAAUGUAGCUCCCCCCGGGGAGUGUUAUAGCCCGCGGUGCCGCCUGUGAUGCCAGACUGAGGUCUGCGAGAGUCCAUCAAAUGUCGGCAGCCCGUUGGCGGUCGGGGGGUGCGAUAGCUUGCUAAUGCAUCUUCCUAUCGCUGCGGCUCUGCUGGCAUGGGGGCCUUCUCUAGGAUGUUGACGAAAUGGUUCCAAACGAC
Molecule: ribosomal RNA, 686 nt
Filed under: uncultured fungus
Lineage: Eukaryota; Fungi
Description: eukaryotic LSU rRNA
Rfam family: Eukaryotic large subunit ribosomal RNA
Source: RNAcentral